Molecule: transfer-messenger RNA, 418 nt
Filed under: Patescibacteria group bacterium
Lineage: Bacteria
Also listed under: 1 other name
Rfam family: transfer-messenger RNA
About the family: Bacterial tmRNA, also known as 10Sa RNA or SsrA, is named for its dual tRNA and mRNA-like properties. Its role is to liberate the mRNA from a stalled ribosome. To accomplish this part of the tmRNA is used as a reading frame that ends in a translation stop signal.
Source: RNAcentral
GGGGGUGACCGGUUUUGACGGUCUGCCCUUUGAGAAACGUGCGACGCGAUGGAAUCUUGCUGACCAUCUGAAUCUCGCAAGCACCCAAUACCUGCCGACAAAACUGUUGCAGGCGCAAAGGUAUCUCCGUACUUUACGGCAAAGAACUUUGCGUUCGCUUACGUGUAAGCUUGAGCCUCGGCUCGUUUAGCGUAACGACGUUCACUCUUCCCGGGUUCUCAUAGCCGGUCGAAUGGGCGAAAUCUUCUAUGGGAUCGAUAGCCGUGCGCCCACACGUGCUGUUCAGACUUCGGGCGUAGACAGAAAAGGUUUCGCUGACAUUUCUACUUUUCUGUUGAAACACUAAUAGCAGCUACGUGUCGUAGACUCGUUCUCAAAGCCAGAUUCGGACGGGGGAUCAUACCCCCCACCUCCACCG